GAUGAACGCUGGCGGCGUGCCUAAUACAUGCAAGUCGAGCGAACAGACGAGGAGCUUGCUCCUCUGACGUUAGCGGCGGACGGGUGAGUAACACGUGGAUAACCUACCUAUAAGACUGGGAUAACUUCGGGAAACCGGAGCUAAUACCGGAUAAUAUAUUGAACCGCAUGGUUCAAUAGUGAAAGACGGUUUUGCUGUCACUUAUAGAUGUAUCCGCGCCGCAUUAGCUAGUUGGUAAGGUAACGGCUUACCAAGGCGACGAUGCGUAGCCGACCUGAGAGGGUGAUCGGCCACACUGGAACUGAGACACGGUCCAGACUCCUACGGGAGGCAGCAGUAGGGGAUCUUCCGCAAUGGGCGAAAGCCUGACGGAGCAACGCCGCGUGAGUGAUGAAGGUCUUCGGAUCGUAAAACUCUGUUAUUAGGGAAGAACAAAUGUGUAAGUAACUAUGCACGUCUUGACGGUACCUAAUCAGAAAGCCACGGCUAACUACGUG
RNAcentral lists this ribosomal RNA (497 nucleotides) under uncultured bacterium. Its description in RNAcentral is "partial 16S ribosomal RNA". It matches the Rfam family "Bacterial small subunit ribosomal RNA", at positions 28 to 507 of the family's 1533-position model. The record is from RNAcentral.